GUGCUCGCUUUAAUAGCACAUACACUAAAAUUGGAACAAUGCAGGGAAGAUUAACAUGGCCCUGCACAAGGAUAACAUAUUAAUUCGUGAAGUGUUCCAUAUUUUU
Molecule: small nuclear RNA, 106 nt
Organism: Pteropus vampyrus (large flying fox)
Lineage: Eukaryota; Metazoa; Chordata; Mammalia; Chiroptera; Pteropodidae
Source: Ensembl